CCAUAGAAAUUGUCAAGGGGACUCAGCAACAGCCUAGUGAACAAAAAACAUAAACUGGGUACCAGAUGAAGUGUUUUGAAUCAAAUUAGGAAGAACUUGUGAGUGAAAUUCCAGUAACAACUGUCAUGAAGAUGUGGUGUCUCCUACCUUCAGCAGCUGGCAGAUUUUUCCCAAGGUCUUAUUUCCUCAGCUUCUGCUAUACUUCUUUGGCUGUUUGUGUGGACACCAUGCAAAGACCUCAUCAAUACAGACCUGCAAUAUAAGGAAAUGCAAUAAUUUCUUCAGUAAUAAACUUCUAAAGAAUAUGAGGGGAAUACGAGGUGAAAUUAAAUACUGCAGAAAAAUCUACUUCAGAGCUCCCACUGAAUUCCUCUAAGGCCAAGAUUUCAUAGUUCUGCCAGGUCAUGUCCUGAUCAACACUGAAAUGAUGCUCAGUUUGCAAAGCUCUUUUACUGUUCGAACGUCCUCUGGAACUUUUGAUAUAUUUCAUAAGAAACGUAAGAAUGAAUAAAAUAAAGGUCAGGGAGAAAACACACCAAGCUGACAAAUUCUUUCCAGCAGCCAAAAUUGCGUUGUGUGUGGGCUUUUAAAUAAUUAUUAUACAUACACAGGCAAAUUGGCCUAGUGAAUAUGCUGUAAAAUUGCUAAUGAUGAAUGUCUUAGCCCAUGCCCAAAUGCUGCUGUAGGUUAAUGUUUAGUGUACCCAGUGACUGGAAUGGUGAUUCUCCUGGGCAGAAGGUGGCAGUUUUUGGCCAAGUAUUAUUAGGUAAUGUCAAGGCAAACAUGUAUAACAGAGAAAAACAGUGUAGUUGC
This is a long non-coding RNA of Empidonax traillii (willow flycatcher), 813 nucleotides long. RefSeq lists it as uncharacterized. The transcript has 4 exons. The record is from RefSeq and is a predicted model, not a curated record. Lineage: Eukaryota; Metazoa; Chordata; Aves; Passeriformes; Tyrannidae.